CAUGGUUGUCGUCAGCUCGUGUCGUGAGAUGUUGGGUUAAGUCCGCAACGAGCGCAACCCCUAUUGUUAGUUGCCAUCAUUCAGUUGGGCACUCUAGCGAGACUGCCGGUAAUAAACCGGAGGAAGGUGGGGAUGACGUCAAAUCAUCAUGCCCCUUAUGACCUGGGCUACACACGUGCUACAAUGGUUGGUACAACGAGUUGCGAGUCGGUGACGGCGAGCUAAUCUCUUAAAGCCAAUCUCAGUUCGGAUUGUAGGCUGCAACUCGCCUACAUGAAGUCGGAAUCGCUAGUAAUCGCGGAUCAGCACGCCGCGGUGAAUACGUUCCCGGGCCUU
Molecule: ribosomal RNA, 336 nt
Filed under: uncultured Streptococcus sp.
Lineage: Bacteria; Bacillati; Bacillota; Bacilli; Lactobacillales; Streptococcaceae
Description: bacterial SSU rRNA
Rfam family: Bacterial small subunit ribosomal RNA
Source: RNAcentral